This 989-nucleotide long non-coding RNA is filed under the name Nicotiana benthamiana. Its description in RNAcentral is "long non-coding RNA (NBEN_LNC041815)". The record is from RNAcentral. Lineage: Eukaryota; Viridiplantae; Streptophyta; Magnoliopsida; Solanales; Solanaceae.
UAGGUGUCUUUGGAAGCCAUGAAGAUAUCAGUUCGAGGAGCUUAACAGGAAGAGAAUUUAUGGAGCAUGCGAACCCCAAAGCACAUAUAAGGCAAAGUGGAGGUCUCCUAUUCUCCAGAGCUGAGCCAAGGCAUAAACAAGACAUAGUGAGAUUACUCAAAGAAGAUGGUGAGGUGGUUGCGAUGACUGGAGAUGGAGUGAAUGAUGCACCUGCCCUGAAAUUGGCCGAUAUUGGAAUUGCAAUGGGAAUUGCUGGAACUGAGGUAUAAAUGACAAUACUAGUGCUAGUUUUUGUGAACCAUGUCAAUGGAGGCAUGUAUCUAGAAUUUACUGCAUGAAGUAUGGUUUCAGUCUGGAUGGAGUGAAUGAUGCACCUGCCCUGAAGUUGGCCGAUAUUGGAAUUGCAAUGGGAAUUGCUGGAACUGAGGUAAAAAGGACGAUACUAGUACUAGUUUUUGUGUACCAUGUCAAUGGAGGCAUGUAUCUUGAAUUUAUUUCCUGCAGUACUUACAUAAAGUAUGGUUUCGUCUGCCAAUUAUUGAUGUACCCCAGUUGGCAGUCAUCUUACUCUGGUCCUGGAUGAUUGUAUACCUAUGUGUGUCUACCCAGAAAGAGGCUAACCUAUCAUAUUGUAUGCUCAUCUUAUUUUGGGUUGUUUAACACUAUCCAUUUAUGUGCUUACGGAUAGAAACUUGGCUUCAUUUUCCAGUGAUAGCAUUUAUUAUAGCUGAUUCUCGUGUCAAUUUGAUUGUCAUUUUCAAUGCGCAAAUUCCUGUAGUUUCUGAUGGGGUUGGGGGACAAAAUAGAUCCUGUGGAUAUAUACAUGUAUAUUUACUGUCAGGUUUUCUAUUCUUAUUAAUGAGACUCCUGAAGGGUUUUUGAAGACAGUCUUCUUGUCAUGUUGCUUAUGUUUGAUUUUUGGUCUCAGGUGGCAAAGGAAGCAUCAGAUAUGGUUUUGGCAGAUGAUAAUUUUAGUACAAUUGUAUCUG